RNAcentral lists this ribosomal RNA (1521 nucleotides) under metagenome. RNAcentral describes it as "bacterial SSU rRNA". It matches the Rfam family "Bacterial small subunit ribosomal RNA". The record is from RNAcentral.
AGAGUUUGAUCCUGGCUCAGAACGAACGCUGGCGGCGUGGAUUAGGCAUGCAAGUCGAGCGAGAAAGGCUCCUUCGGGGGCUGAGUAAAGCGGCGAACUGGUGAGUAUAAGAUGGGUAACGUGCCCGGAUGUGGGGGAUAACCCGCCGAAAGGCGGACUAAUACCGCAUGUCCCCUUCGUUCCUUGGAAUGGAGGAAAAAGGCUCCGGGGCUUCGGCCCCGGCGUCGCGUCCGGAUCGGCCCAUUCCCCAUUAGCUUGUUGGUAGGGUAACGGCCUACCAAGGCUACGAUGGGUAGCUGGCCUGAGAGGGUGGUCAGCCACACUGGGACUGAGAUACGGCCCAGACUCCUACGGGGGGCAGCAGUCUAGAGGCUUCGGCAAUGGGCGAAAGCCUGACCGAGCGACGCCGCGUGUGGGAAGAAUGCUCUUGGGUUGUAAACCACUGUCAGGAGGGAAUAAGGCCCUGUUGGUAACGCUGCAGGGAUUGAAGGUACCUCCAGAGGAAGCACCGGCUAACUCCGUGCCAGCAGCCGCGGUAAUACGGAGGGUGCUAGCGUUGUUCGGAUUUAUUGGGCGUAAAGGGCACGUAGGCGGGCUGGUAAGUCUUCGGUGAAAUUUUCAUCGCUUAACGGGAAAAGGUCCGAGGAUACUGUCAGCCUAGAGAGCGGUAGAGGUGAGUGGAAUUCCUGGUGUAACGGUGGAAUGUUUAGAUAUCAGGAAGAACACCGGUGGCGAAGGCGACUCACUGGACGGUGUCUGACGCUGAUGUGCGAAAGCCAGGGGAGCGAACGGGAUUAGAUACCCCGGUAGUCCUGGCCGUAAACGGUGAGCACUAGGUGUGGGAGGAAUCGACCCCUUCUGUGCCGUAGCUAACGCAUUAAGUGCUCCGCCUGGGAAGUACGACCGCAAGGUUGAAACUCAGAGGAAUUGACGGGGGCCCGCACAAGCGGUGGAGCAUGUGGUUUAAUUCGAUGCAACGCGAAGAACCUUACCCGGGCUAAAACAGAGGGGAAAAGCAGCCGAAAGGCUGUGUGCCUUCGGGCGUCCUUCUGAGGUGCUGCAUGGCUGUCGUCAGCUCGUGUCGUGAGAUGUUGGGUUAAGUCCCGCAACGAGCGCAACCCUUGUCCUUAGUUACCAGCGCGUCAUGGCGGGGACUCUAAGGAGACCGCCCACGCAAGUGGGAGGAAGGUGGGGAUGAUGUCAAGUCCUCAUGGCCCUUAUGUCCGGGGCUACACACGUGCUACAAUGGCCGGUACAGCGAGUCGCAAGACCGUGAGGUGGAGCUAAUCUCUAAAAACCGGCCUCAGUUCGGAUUGGAGUCUGCAAUUCGACUCCAUGAAGUUGGAAUCGCUAGUAAUCCCGUAUCAGCUACAACGGGGUGAAUACGUUCCCGGGCCUUGUACACACCGCCCGUCACAUCACGGAAGUCGGCUGUUCCGGAAGUCGGUGUACCAAUCCGCUUCGGCGGAAGGAAGCUGCCGAUGGAAUGGUUGGUAACUGGGGUGAAGUCGUAACAAGGUA